CUUGGUGGUUAUAGCAUGAGUGAAACAC
Molecule: ribosomal RNA, 28 nt
Filed under: Rickettsia rhipicephali
Lineage: Bacteria; Pseudomonadati; Pseudomonadota; Alphaproteobacteria; Rickettsiales; Rickettsiaceae
Source: RNAcentral